AUACAAAUAAUAUAAAUGAUUUAUAUUAGUUAAUAAUAAAUUGAAAUUUAUUAAUAAAAUAUAAUAUUUAUAAGGUGAAAUUUUAAAUAUUUAAUAUAUUAAUUAAAUGUUUAUGAUUUAUUAAAUUUAUUAAUAAACUAGGAUUAGAUACCCUAUUAUUUUAAAUGUAAAUAAAUAAUUCUAAAUUAGUAAUAGUUAUGUUCUUUAAAGUUAAAGAUUUUGGCGGUAUUUUAAUCUAAUCAGAGGAACCUGUUCUAUAAUUGAUAGUCCACGAUUUAUCUUACUUAAUUUAAAUAAUUUAUAUAUCAUCGUAGUUUGAAUAUUUUAAAAGAAUUUUAAUAUUCAUAAUUUUUUAUUUAAAAACAAAUCAGAUCAAGGUGUAGUUUAUAGUUAAGUAGAAAUGGGUUACAAUAAUUUAAAAUUUUGGAUUAAUAAUUUAAAAUUAUUAUGAAAUUGGAUUUGACUGUAAUUUGAAUUAAAUUAUUUAAAUGAUUUAAGCUCUAAAAUAUGCACAUAUCGCCCGUCGCUCUCAUAUAAAAUGAGAUAAGUCGUAACAAAGUAGAUGUAUUGGAAAA
RNAcentral lists this ribosomal RNA (575 nucleotides) under Omalium rivulare. RNAcentral describes it as "partial 12S ribosomal RNA". The record is from RNAcentral. Lineage: Eukaryota; Metazoa; Arthropoda; Insecta; Coleoptera; Staphylinidae.